GCUUACGGCCACACCGCCUGGUUCACGCCUUGUUCACGCUUGAUCUCGGAAGCUAAGAUAGGGUGGGCCAGGUUGAGUACUUGGAUGGGAGACCGCCUGGGAAUACCAGGUGCUGUAAGCU
Molecule: ribosomal RNA, 121 nt
Filed under: Scophthalmus maximus (turbot)
Lineage: Eukaryota; Metazoa; Chordata; Actinopteri; Pleuronectiformes; Scophthalmidae
Source: RNAcentral